This 438-nucleotide ribosomal RNA is filed under the name uncultured bacterium. RNAcentral describes it as "bacterial SSU rRNA". It matches the Rfam family "Bacterial small subunit ribosomal RNA", at positions 957 to 1392 of the family's 1533-position model. The record is from RNAcentral.
GAAAGCGAAGAACCUUACCUGGGCUUGACAUCUGCGGAACCUUAUGGAAACAUGGGGGUGCCUGGCAACAGGAGCCGCAAGACAGGUGCUGCAUGGCUGUCGUCAGCUCGUGUCGUGAGAUGUUGGGUUAAGUCCCGCAACGAGCGCAACCCUUGUCUUUAGUUGCCAUCAUUUAGUUGGGCACUCUAAAGAGACUGCCGGUGUUAAACCGGAGGAAGGUGGGGAUGACGUCAAGUCCUCAUGGCCCUUAUGUCCAGGGCUACACACGUGCUACAAUGGUCGGUACAAAGGGUUGCGAUACCGUGAGGUGGAGCCAAUCCCACAAAGCCGAUCUCAGUUCGGAUCGGAGUCUGCAACUCGACUCCGUGAAGUUGGAAUCGCUAGUAAUCGUGGAUCAGCAUGCCACGGUGAAUACGUUCCCGGGUCUUGUACACACCG